This 469-nucleotide ribosomal RNA is filed under the name uncultured bacterium. RNAcentral's name for it is "partial 16S ribosomal RNA". It matches the Rfam family "Bacterial small subunit ribosomal RNA", at positions 28 to 507 of the family's 1533-position model. The record is from RNAcentral.
GACGAACGCUGGCGGCGUGCUUAACACAUGCAAGUCGAACGGAAAGGCCCUGCUUGCAGGGUGCUCGAGUGGCGAACGGGUGAGUAACACGUGGGUGAUCUGCCCCUUACUUUGGGAUAAGCCUGGGAAACUGGGUCUAAUACUGGAUAGGACCAUGCUGUAGGUGGUGUGGUGGAAAGAUUAGUUUCGGUAAGGGAUGAGCUCGCGGCCUAUCAGCUUGUUGGUGGGGUAAUGGCCUACCAAGGCGUCGACGGGUAGCCGGCCUGAGAGGGUGGACGGCCACAUUGGGACUGAGAUACGGCCCAGACUCCUACGGGAGGCAGCAGUGGGGAAUAUUGCACAAUGGGCGCAAGCCUGUUGCAGCGACGCCGCGUGGGGGAUGACGGCCUUCGGGUUGUAAACUCCUUUCAGCCAUGACGAAGCCCUUGUGGUGACGGUAGUGGUAGAAGAAGCACCGGCUAACUACGUG